ACGAACGCUGGCGGCGUGCCUAAUACAUGCCAGUUGAGCGCUGAAGGUUGGUACUUGUACCAACUGGAUGAGCAGCGAACGGGUGAGUAACGCGUGGGGAAUCUGCCUUUGAGCGGGGGACAACAUUUGGAAACGAAUGCUAAUACCGCAUAAAAACUUUAAACACAAGUUUUAAGUUUGAAAGAUGCAAUUGCAUCACUCAAAGAUGAUCCCGCGUUGAAUUAGCUAGUUGGUGAGGUAAAGGCUCACCAAGGCGAUGAUACAUAGCCGACCUGAGAGGGUGAUCGGCCACAUUGGGACUGAGACACGGCCCAAACUCCUACGGGAGGCAGCAGUAGGGAAUCUUCGGCAAUGGACGAAAGUCUGACCGAGCAACGCCGCGGGAGUGAAGAAGGGUUUCGGAUCGUAAAACUCUGUUGGUAGAGAAGAACGUUGGUGAGAGUGGAAAGCUCAUCAAGUGACGGUAACUACCCAGAAAGGGACGGCUAACUACGUG
RNAcentral lists this ribosomal RNA (496 nucleotides) under uncultured bacterium. RNAcentral's name for it is "partial 16S ribosomal RNA". It matches the Rfam family "Bacterial small subunit ribosomal RNA", at positions 29 to 507 of the family's 1533-position model. The record is from RNAcentral.